GCAACUGUCUCUCUUGUAAAAAUAAAAAUUAACUUUCAGGUGAAGAGGCCUGAAUUUAAUUAAAGGACAAAAAGACCCUAUUGAGCUUUACUCUAUAAAGCAAUUUUACUCUUUACUAGAUAACUUAAAAUCUUACUAAAGUUUAGUUGGGGCGACUAAGGAAAAUUUAACACUUCCUCUAAUAUAAAGACUUCACGUCAUCCUAAAGAGCCGUCAUACGAUUUUUGAAAAUAGCUACCUUAGGGAUAACAGGCUAAUCCCCUUUAAGAGUCCACAUUGACAAGGGGGUUUGGCACCUCGAUGUUGGCUUAAGGCACCCAUUAGAUGCAGACGUCUAAAACGGUAGGUUUGUUCAACCUUUAAAGCCCUUACGUGAUC
Molecule: ribosomal RNA, 378 nt
Filed under: Oligobregma whaleyi
Lineage: Eukaryota; Metazoa; Annelida; Polychaeta; Scalibregmatidae
Description: partial 16S ribosomal RNA
Rfam family: Bacterial large subunit ribosomal RNA
Source: RNAcentral